UACGUAGGGGGCAAGCGUUGUCCGGAUUUAUUGGGCGUAAAGAGCGUGUAGGCGGCCAAACAGGUCAGCUGUGAAAACUCGAGGCUCAACCUCGAGACGUCGGUUGAAACCGUUUGGCUAGAGUCCGGAAGAGGAGAGUGGAAUUCCAGGUGUAGCGGUGAAAUGCGUAGAUAUCUGGAGGAACACCGGUGGCGAAGGCGGCAUCCUGGACCGGCAUUGACGCUGAGGCGCGAAAGCCAGGGGAAGCCAAAGCGGGGAU
This 259-nucleotide ribosomal RNA is filed under the name uncultured bacterium. RNAcentral describes it as "partial 16S ribosomal RNA". It matches the Rfam family "Bacterial small subunit ribosomal RNA", at positions 524 to 779 of the family's 1533-position model. The record is from RNAcentral.